This 508-nucleotide ribosomal RNA is filed under the name uncultured bacterium. RNAcentral describes it as "bacterial SSU rRNA". It matches the Rfam family "Bacterial small subunit ribosomal RNA", at positions 17 to 518 of the family's 1533-position model. The record is from RNAcentral.
UUCUGGCUCAGGAUGAACGCUAGCGGCAGGCUUAACACAUGCAAGUCGAGGGGCAGCGUGGAGUAGCAAUACUCUGACGGCGACCGGCGAAAGGGUGAGUAACGCGUGAGCAACAUGCCCGGUAGUGGAGAAUAGUCGAUGGAAACGUCGCGUAAUACUCCGUAACAUAGGAGACCGCAUGAUCUUCUAUUAAUAGAUUUAUCGCUACCGGAUUGGCUCGCGUACCAUUAGCUAGUUGGCGGGGUAACGGCCCACCAAGGCGACGAUGGUUAGGGGUUCUGAGAGGAAGGUCCCCCACAUUGGAACUGAGACACGGUCCAGACUCCUACGGGAGGCAGCAGUGAGGAAUAUUGGACAAUGGCCGAGAGGCUGAUCCAGCCAUGCCGCGUGCCGGGAAGACGGCCCUAUGGGUUGUAAACCGCUUUUGUUGGGGAGCAAUAAGGUCCACGCGUGGAUUGAUGAGAGUACCCAGCGAAUAAGCAUCGGCUAACUCCGUGCCAGCAGCCGC